This 77-nucleotide transfer RNA is filed under the name Opitutales bacterium. RNAcentral describes it as "tRNA-Pro". It matches the Rfam family "tRNA". From Rfam's summary of the family: Transfer RNA (tRNA) molecules are approximately 80 nucleotides in length. The record is from RNAcentral. Lineage: Bacteria; Pseudomonadati; Verrucomicrobiota; Opitutia; Opitutales.
CGGGCCGUAGCGCAGUCUGGUAGCGCACUUCGCUGGGGGUGAAGGGGUCGGGAGUUCGAAUCUCCCCGGCCCGACCA